GGCCCGAUAGCUCAGUUGGUAGAGCAAAGGACUGAAAAUCCUUGUGUCGAGGGUUCGAUUCCCCCUUGGGCCACCA
Molecule: transfer RNA, 76 nt
Filed under: Clostridium sp.
Lineage: Bacteria; Bacillati; Bacillota; Clostridia; Eubacteriales; Clostridiaceae
Also listed under: 2 other names
Description: tRNA-Phe
Rfam family: tRNA
About the family: Transfer RNA (tRNA) molecules are approximately 80 nucleotides in length. Their secondary structure includes four short double-helical elements and three loops (D, anti-codon, and T loops).
Source: RNAcentral